Long non-coding RNA from Mesocricetus auratus (golden hamster), 530 nucleotides. RefSeq lists it as uncharacterized. The record is from RefSeq and is a predicted model, not a curated record. The transcript is spliced from 2 exons. NCBI's taxonomy places the organism in Eukaryota, Metazoa, Chordata, Mammalia, Rodentia, Cricetidae.
CCUCCAUGUGACCGGAGCCGUCAUACCGGGCUGAGUAGAUAGCGUCCGACCUGAGGGUGUGAUCAAGCGAGCAGUGAGGACCUCAGAGAGACACAGGCAGCAUCUUCCCCACCCCGACAGGGAGCACCUUCCCCGAGCUCCACCAGGCUUGCAGAUGGCAUCCGGAGCUUUGGUGUGAGUUGCAGGAAGGCAGAGCCCUCAGCAGAGCGGAAGGUGAGUAACUACAGGUCACACCCUGCUUUUCUUCUCUUCAGUCCUCCCACCCCUCGCCCCGAACCCCCCCCACGGUGUUGGCUUCACCUCUGUUCCUGCUGGCCCCAGGCCCCUGCCCGGGUGCUGCUGCCUCAACCCUGGGUGGUAGAGAGUGCUGACCUGGCAUCAAUCCAGAGGAUGCGCUUCUCCAGGUAGUCCACGGUGAGCCCGUUGGGCCAGCCCCCAGAGCCUGUCUCUCGGUGGAUGGUACGGCGCCCAGCGCCGCUCAUGGAUGCUGCCUCAAUUCGAGGCAGGCUGGCAUCCCAGUCUGUCCAAAA